Molecule: small RNA, 27 nt
Filed under: Bombyx mori (domestic silkworm)
Lineage: Eukaryota; Metazoa; Arthropoda; Insecta; Lepidoptera; Bombycidae
Description: ovarian small RNA-19448
Source: RNAcentral
UAAGUGUUCAACAGCGGCAGCCAAAUC